Molecule: ribosomal RNA, 500 nt
Filed under: uncultured bacterium
Lineage: Bacteria
Description: partial 16S ribosomal RNA
Rfam family: Bacterial small subunit ribosomal RNA
Source: RNAcentral
GACGAACGCUGGCGGCGUGCCUAAUACAUGCAAGUCGAGCGAGACUCUUCGGAGUCUAGCGGCGGACGGGUGAGUAACACGUGGGCAACCUGCCUGUAAGACUGGGAUAACACCGGGAAACCGGUGCUAAUACCGGAUAAUCCUUUUCCUCUCCUGAGGAAAAACUGAAAGUCGGUUUCGGCUGACUCUUACAGAUGGGCCAGCGGCGCAUUAGCUAGUUGGUGGGGUAACGGCUCACCAAGGCGACGAUGCGUAGCCGACCUGAGAGGGUGAUCGGCCACACUGGGACUGAGACACGGCCCAGACUCCUACGGGAGGCAGCAGUAGGGAAUCUUCCACAAUGGACGAAAGUCUGAUGGAGCAACGCCGCGUGAGCGAUGAAGGCCUUCGGGUCGUAAAGCUCUGUUGUUAGGGAAGAACAAGUACCGGAGUAACUGCCGGUACCUUGACGGUACCUAACCAGAAAGCCACGGCUAACUACGUGCCAGCCGCCGCCGUAA